CUGGGUGUAGCGCAGUUUGGUUAGCGCACGUGCUUUGGGAGCACGGGGCCGCAGGUUCGAAUCCUGUCACCUAGA
This 75-nucleotide transfer RNA is filed under the name Bacteriophage sp. Its description in RNAcentral is "tRNA-Pro". It matches the Rfam family "tRNA". From Rfam's summary of the family: Transfer RNA (tRNA) molecules are approximately 80 nucleotides in length. Their secondary structure includes four short double-helical elements and three loops (D, anti-codon, and T loops). The record is from RNAcentral.